Small nucleolar RNA from Larimichthys crocea (large yellow croaker), 74 nucleotides. The record is from Ensembl. NCBI's taxonomy places the organism in Eukaryota, Metazoa, Chordata, Actinopteri, Sciaenidae.
UUCAGUGAGGAUAACUGCUGCAUAGGAAGUGCCGUCUGAUGCGAUAACUGACGAUGGCGAUAGCUGUUCUGAGA